This 687-nucleotide ribosomal RNA is filed under the name uncultured bacterium. Its description in RNAcentral is "bacterial SSU rRNA". It matches the Rfam family "Bacterial small subunit ribosomal RNA", at positions 44 to 701 of the family's 1533-position model. The record is from RNAcentral.
AUGCUUAACACAUGCAAGUCGAACGGUAACAGAGAGUAGCUUGCUACUUUGCUGACGAGCGGCGGACGGGUGAGUAACGCGUGGGUAAUCUGCCCUUGGGUCUGGAACAACGCUGGGAAACUAGUGCUAAUUCCGGAUAAGACUACGACGACCUAGGUCGAUGUAGAAAAAGGUGGCCUCUCCUUGGAAGCUAUCGCCCGGGGAUGAGCCCGCGUUCCAUUAGCUUGUUGGUGGGGUAAAAGCCUACCAAGGCACCGAUGGAUGGCUGGUCUGAGAGGAUGAUCAGCCACACUGGGACUGAGACACGGCCCAGACUCCUACGGGAGGCAGCAGUCGGGAAUUUUGUCCAAUGGGGGAAACCCUGAGACAGCAACGCCGCGUGAGGGAUGAAGGCCUUCGGGUCGUAAACCUCUGUCGGGAGGGAAGAAUACUUCAUUGCGAAUAGUUUUGAAGUUUGACGGUACCUCCAAAGGAAGCUCCGGCUAACUCCGUGCCAGCAGCCGCGGUAAUACGGAGGGGGCAAGCGUUGUUCGGAAUCAUUGGGCGUAAAGCGGAUGCAGGCGGUGAAGUAAGUCGGAUGUGAAAUCCCAGGGCCCAACCCUGGAACUGCAUUCGAAACUGCUCCACUAGAGUCCCGGAGAGGAAGGCGGAAUUCCCGGUGUAGAGGUGAUAUUCGUAGAUAUCGGA